GACGUAGGGCGCGAGCGUUGUCCGGAUUUAUUGGGCGUAAAGAGCUCGUAGGCGGCUUGUCGCGUCGACUGUGAAAACCCGCGGCUCAACCGUGUGGUCUGCAGUCGAUACGGGCAGGCUAGAGUUCGGUAGGGGAGACUGGAAUUCCUGGUGUAGCGGUGAAAUGCGCAGAUAUCAGGAGGAACACCAAUUGCGAAGGCAGCUCGCUGGGACGUUACUGACGCUGAUGCGCGAAAGCGUGGGGAGCAAACAGG
This 254-nucleotide ribosomal RNA is filed under the name uncultured bacterium. RNAcentral describes it as "partial 16S ribosomal RNA". It matches the Rfam family "Bacterial small subunit ribosomal RNA", at positions 524 to 776 of the family's 1533-position model. The record is from RNAcentral.